GUGGGGAAUAUUGCACAAUGGGCGAAAGCCUGAUGCAGCCAUGCCGCGUGUAUGAAGAAGGCCUUCGGGUUGUAAAGUACUUUCAGCGGGGAGGAAGGCGAUAAGGUUAAUAACCUUGUCGAUUGACGUUACCCGCAGAAGAAGCACCGGCUAACUCCGUGCCAGCAGCCGCGGUAAUACGGAGGGUGCAAGCGUUAAUCGGAAUUACUGGGCGUAAAGCGCACGCAGGCGGUCUGUCAAGUCGGAUGUGAAAUCCCCGGGCUCAACCUGGGAACUGCAUUCGAAACUGGCAGGCUAGAGUCUUGUAGAGGGGGGUAGAAUUCCAGGUGUAGCGGUGAAAUGCGUAGAGAUCUGGUGGAAUACCGGUGGCGAAGGCGGCCCCCUGGACAAAGACUGACGCUCAGGUGCGAAAGCGUGGGGAGCAAACAGGAUUAGAUACCCUAGUAGUCC
Molecule: ribosomal RNA, 450 nt
Filed under: uncultured bacterium
Lineage: Bacteria
Description: partial 16S ribosomal RNA
Rfam family: Bacterial small subunit ribosomal RNA
Source: RNAcentral